This 445-nucleotide long non-coding RNA is filed under the name Nicotiana benthamiana. RNAcentral's name for it is "long non-coding RNA (NBEN_LNC036469)". Lineage: Eukaryota; Viridiplantae; Streptophyta; Magnoliopsida; Solanales; Solanaceae. The record is from RNAcentral.
CAAAAAAAAAAAGAGAAGACUUAUCUCAUUGAAGAUUUCUUGAAAUGAAACUACAAGAGAAGUACAUGCUUAGCAUUAUUAGCUAUACAUAAAGAUAUAUAUAAUUAUAAGAAGUAGAGUAGAUAACAUGAGAAAUUAAGUCCUAGAAAGCGACAGCAGUUGAUUUUCUGUCAGCAGGAAGUUGCAAUUGAGGCAAGUCAUGAUAGCCCGUGAAGAUUACUCUGGCUUCAGCCGAAGGAGGAAGAAGCUGAACAACAUGAUCAGAAUGAUAAUGAUACCUAUAAACACAUGCUUGUUUUGGUCCCUCACAAGUAGAAGUAGAAGACUCUCUUCCUUUUCUUCCUUCUGAAAGGGAAAAUCCCAGAAUUUUACCUAUCUUUACGAGGUCUACUUGAGGUGCCAUCUAUAUAAUAACUGAACUUAAUUAAGAUAUGCUCUCUCUCUG